Solanum dulcamara is the source of this 1287-nucleotide long non-coding RNA. RefSeq lists it as uncharacterized. NCBI's taxonomy places the organism in Eukaryota, Viridiplantae, Streptophyta, Magnoliopsida, Solanales, Solanaceae. The transcript has 2 exons. The record is from RefSeq and is a predicted model, not a curated record.
UACUCUUUUGAAAAGGAUGUGUUUAGGUUGUAAAAAAGAUCAUAUCUUACUUCUUUGUAUAGGUUAUGAAAAUGUUGUAAGAACUUGAAAAAAAAGGUAAAAAAUGGACAGAAGAAUAUAGUCCAUAUGCCAUGAAACUUUUUAAUGAUUUCAGAAUCAUUGCACAAGGUUAUCAAGUUAUUGCUAAUGGAGACUUAGGAUAUGAGGUGGAUGAGGAUAUAGAUAGGCAUGUUGUUAAUCUUGGUAGAAAGAAGUGUACUUGUAGGACAUGAAAUUUGACAAGAAUUCCAUGUCCUCAUGCUAUUAAAGCAUUAGAACAUGAUAGACAAGAACCACUGAAUGAGAUGCAUUAGUGGUAUUCAAAAGAAUCUUAUAUGUUUGUGUACCUGCAUAAAAUUCAACUUGUUAGUGGUGAGAAAUUUUGGAAAGUUGAUCCUUCUCAAGCCAUGAAGCCACCAAAAAUACGUAAAAUGGUUGGUAGACCAAAAGUUAAAAGAGUAAAGGAAAAGGAUGAGGCAAGAAAAAGAGAGGGACUAUGGUCCAAAAGUAGGAAGGGGUUGCAAAUGACAUGUGGAAAUUGUAGUGCAACAGGUCAUAAUCGAAGAAAAUACCCUCUGCUUCAAAAAGGAAGACAAGUUCCUCGAGAUGUGCCAAUUUCAGAGCCCCAACCAGGUGAAGGAGUUGAAUCAGUUUUUAUGCCAACUCCUGAAUUUAAUGUGUCUUUUAGUCAACAAACAAGCCAACAUUAAGUCAAGUAAUUAAUGAAGCUCCUCCGAUCCUUCAAAUUCAAAGAGAAAAGUAAAGGACAAAGUUGUUGCACCUUCAAAGAGGUCUAAAAACAGUGGGAAAGAAAAAGUUGUUGCUAUAAUUGUUGAUGAAGAUGAAGUUGAAGGUGAUAUUGAAUCUGAGGAUGAUGAGACAGUGGUUGCGCCUAGGGUGAUAUAUGAAGAAAAGGCUAGACUUCAAAUGAAAAACCUGCAUCAACAACCAAUUUGUUAAAGAAGGAUCGACUUCAAGGGUGAUGAGAGUGGUGCUACUAUGCUUACUAAUCUGCCAUACUCACCAAAAAAGCUGACUUGGCAAGGCAAAACAUGUGUGACCUCAAAUCAGUUGACAAUAGACAAGGAGAUAAGGAUUGGGAAACUAAAGGCAAAGAGGGGCAAACAUUAGAUAGUGACUGCUAAGUAGUGAUUGUAACUUUUUGUUUUUUAUGUAAUGGCACGGUGAAGUUUCUUAUUUUUCUAUUUUUGGAAUGCUUACCAUUUGUCAUUGGCCAUUUAUGUUAAA